Molecule: long non-coding RNA, 873 nt
Filed under: Papio anubis (olive baboon)
Lineage: Eukaryota; Metazoa; Chordata; Mammalia; Primates; Cercopithecidae
Description: lncRNA (ENSPANG00000039947.1)
Source: RNAcentral
AUGGCUUGGGAAACUGAUAAAAUAUUGUCUUCAAACUUUCCUUUUUGUAGUGCCUGCAUUGGCCCAAAAUUCAACUCUUAUUUCAGUUUUCUACCUCACUGCAAUACCUUCUGGAUAUCUUUACAAUGUCAACAUCCAAUUUCACAGCCUCAAUGGAACUUGGCCAAUUCUACUUGAUUUAGGAAGAGAAUAAGACAGUAUUUACCUAGGCUCUCACUCUGUCAUCCAGGCUGCAAUUCCAGUGGUAUGAUCAGGGCUCACUGCAGCCUCCACUUCCUAGACUCAAGUGAUCCUCCCACCUCAGCCUCUUGGGUAACUGAACUGGAACUACAGGUACAUGCCACCACACCUGGCUAACUUUAAUUUUUUUUUUUUUUUUACUUUCAACAUUUAUUUUAGAUUCAGGGAGUAUAUGUGCAUGAUGCUGAGGUUUGGCAUGCAAAUGAUCCCAUUGCCCAGGUAGUGAGCAUGGUACCCAACAGUUAGUUUUCCAGUCCUUACCCCCUACUCUUCCUCCUGCUUCUAGUAGUCCCCAGUGUCUCUUGCUGCCAUUUUUAUGUCCAAGAGUAUCCAAUAUUUAGCUCCCACUUAGAAGUAACAACAUGUGUUGUUUGAUUUCAUGUUCUGGAAUUAAUUUGCUUACGAUAAUGGCCUCCAGCUGCAUCCAUGUUGCUGCAAAAGAUAUGAUUUUUUUUUCUUUUUUUAAGGCUACAUAGUAUUCCAUGGUAUAUACAUACCACAUUUUAUUUAUCCAGUUCACUACUGGUAGGCAUCUAGGUUGAUUCCUUGUCUUUGCAAUUGUGAAUAGUGCUGUGAUAAACAUAGGAAUGCAUGUAUCUUUUUGGUAAGAUAAUUUAUUUUCUUUUAGGUAUA